UUCAGCAACGGAAGCCACUUUAUAUAAACCCUGCCCUGAUUCAGGAUCCUAGCUGGGAGCAACUCCCUUCCAGGGUCCCCUGACUCAAAAGCAAGGAAAUGGGAAAGGCGAAAAGUCCUAGAACAAAGCCAUCUUUUGCGUCUCAACACCGAGAACAGAAGCGUGGGGGGCCGACAGCGAAGGGCCUAACGUCCAAGCACUCACCUGCGCGGGGUCCCGCAGCGCCGCCGCUGCCAUCGGAGUCUGUGGCUCAGCCGGCAGAGAGAAGAAAAGCAGCUGGACAUUGGAGACUAUGGUUGGAUGUUGGAGAGAAGCAGGCUGACUUCAAAGGGACAGCUUGACAGCGUAGCUUUGGAGAGGAUGGCCAGGGAUGGCCAAACUUCAGGGGACGAUUACCUUCCUGCUCCAUCCCCUUUUCAGCUCCUCUUCCUGCUGAGAGCCACUUUCACCGGCAAUAAAAUCCCCUGCAUUUACCAUC
This is a long non-coding RNA of Homo sapiens (human), 478 nucleotides long. RefSeq lists it as uncharacterized. Lineage: Eukaryota; Metazoa; Chordata; Mammalia; Primates; Hominidae. The record is from RefSeq and is a predicted model, not a curated record. The transcript is spliced from 2 exons.